This 345-nucleotide unclassified non-coding RNA is filed under the name soil metagenome. Its description in RNAcentral is "partial contains 5.8S ribosomal RNA, internal transcribed spacer 2, and large subunit ribosomal RNA". The stretch from base 1 to 120 matches the Rfam family "5.8S ribosomal RNA", at positions 35 to 154 of the family's 154-position model. The record is from RNAcentral.
GAUGAAGAACGUAGCGAAAUGCGAAAAGUAGUGUGAAUUGCAGAAUUCAGUGAAUCAUCGAGUCUUUGAACGCACAUUGCGCCCUCUGGUAUUCCGGAGGGCAUGCCUGUCCGAGCGUCAUUGCUGCCCUCAAGCACGGCUUGUGUGUUGGGCUCCGUCCCCCGAUCCCGGGGGACGGGCCCGAAAGGCAGCGGCGGCACCGCGUCCGGUCCUCGAGCGUAUGGGGCUUUGUCACCCGCUCUGUAGGCCCGGCCGGCGCUUGCCGAUCAACCAAAUUUUUAUCCAGGUUGACCUCGGAUCAGGUAGGGAUACCCGCUGAACUUAAGCAUAUCAAUAAGCGGAGGA